RNAcentral lists this ribosomal RNA (253 nucleotides) under uncultured bacterium. RNAcentral's name for it is "partial 16S ribosomal RNA". It matches the Rfam family "Bacterial small subunit ribosomal RNA", at positions 524 to 776 of the family's 1533-position model. The record is from RNAcentral.
UACAGAGGUGGCAAGCGUUGUUCGGAAUUACUGGGCGUAAAGGGCGCGUAGGCGGCCAUCUAAGUCAGACGUGAAAUCCCCCGGCUUAACCUGGGAACUGCGUCUGAUACUGGACGGCUAGAGUAUGGGAGAGGGAUGUAGAAUUCCAGGUGUAGCGGUGAAAUGCGUAGAUAUCUGGAGGAAUACCGGUGGCGAAGGCGGCAUCCUGGACCGACAUUGACGCUGAUGAGCGAAAGCCAGGGGAGCAAACGGG